ACUUGGCUAUUGUUGACGAUGAAGAACGUAACAAGUUGCGAAAAGUAAUGUUGACAUGCAAAACUCGUGAAUCAUCGAAUUUUCGAACAUAUCCAAUGCUUCUCUCUUCUACGGAAUUGCGAAGCGCUUACUUGUGAGUGCCAGUUUUUCUUACUUACUGGAACUGAGAAAGUG
Molecule: ribosomal RNA, 174 nt
Filed under: Vahlkampfia avara
Lineage: Eukaryota; Heterolobosea; Eutetramitea; Acrasida; Vahlkampfiidae
Description: partial 5.8S ribosomal RNA
Rfam family: 5.8S ribosomal RNA (bases 2-143)
About the family: 5.8S ribosomal RNA (5.8S rRNA) is a component of the large subunit of the eukaryotic ribosome.
Source: RNAcentral